AGGAGCCAGCACUAAAUGAAAGCAUCAUGCUCCAUGAAGUCUUUUGUCUCAUCUGGAUGUUUGCACUGUACCCAGGAAGCCUGGCCUCUUACGUGGAGCAGUCUCCAUCGAUUGUGUCGAUUGCAGGAGGGGACUCGGACACAAUAAACUGCAUGCUGAAGAAAUCAGCUUACAGCUAUAUGUACUGGUACCGACAGCAACCCAACCGGCCAAUAGAAGCUUUAUUCUAUUCUGCUGGUGAAAAUUCAGUUAGAAAUUACACAUCUGAAUCUUAUCAUGCUAAAAGGCCCAGUGAAACUCUGUUUACUUUGGAACUGAAAGGCGUCUCUCCAUCUCACACGGCUGUCUAUUUCUGUGCAUGUAGUAGUGCACAGUGUUCGAGAUAUUAUCUUUGCAACUACAAAAACCUGUAUUCGAGAACAGGGAUGUUCAGGUCUCUUUUUCCCACCAACAGGUGGGGACAGACGAUUGAUGUUCAGAGCACAUUUUCUGUGACAAGAGAGAAGACUUCGCUCUCUGUUAGCGAGUGA
This is a non-coding RNA of Hemiscyllium ocellatum (epaulette shark), 530 nucleotides long. NCBI's taxonomy places the organism in Eukaryota, Metazoa, Chordata, Chondrichthyes, Orectolobiformes, Hemiscylliidae. The record is from the annotation of a RefSeq genome assembly.